Molecule: long non-coding RNA, 392 nt
Organism: Neopsephotus bourkii (Bourke's parrot)
Lineage: Eukaryota; Metazoa; Chordata; Aves; Psittaciformes; Psittacidae
Exons: 2
Source: RefSeq, a predicted model, not a curated record
AUUUUAUUUUUCCAGUCACAAGAUACCUUAUGAUUUUCACUUCCUUUUAUCAGUGACAAUGGUGGCGACGAAACAGGAUACAGAAACUAUGUCUUAACCAAUCUGUCUUCCUAAGAUACAGCUGUACAGUAGGAUGCUCCAUCACGUAAUCUUUCUGCUAUCUAAAAUAUGCAUUCCAUGGCUUUACUGAAUCCCCUUUCAAACUGGGAUGCCCAAGCUGAACUGUUCCGUGUGAGUUUCUAUAGCUUAGGACUUUAAAAAUUCCCAUGUGUUUUAUCUUACAUUUUUGCACAGUUAAUUAAGAAUCUGAAAUUUGAACUGCAGAAGAAUUCAGCAAACCAAGAAGCCCACAGUAAUUUAAUUUUUGGUAGAAUAAAAUGUUCUAAUUCAUU